AAAAAAUUAAAAUAAAAAAAAUUCGUAAAGUAAAAAUUAUAUUUGAGCAUUGUGUAAAUAAUUAUAGUAACUUAAUUAAAAUUAAGGGAUAAAUAAAUAGAUGUGAGAGAAAUUAAAAAAAAAUUAAUACAUUCCCCAUUUGCAAUUUUCCCGCCCAUCACUUAUAGUAUUUUCAAUUCAAAUUUAUUACUUAUCAUGCCAGCUUAUUAAAUUUAUUGUGAGCCGUUCAAUUCUACUUACCCAUAAAGUCGCCAAAUUCAAUGGUUAAAAAUCUCUCAGAUCCAACCUAUUAACUUGGCUUUCAGUUAAAUAGCCGGGUUGCCAUUAAGGUCCACUGGUCCCAAUUGCUUUUUAUCUCUCCCCUCUAGGUGGGACCCGCCGUCCCUCAACGUCUCCCGUUGUCAAAAUCCAAACCAAAUUGAUUGGUCGUGCAAACCCAAAAAAGAAACCCAAAUUAUUAUUGAAACAAAAUCGAUCAGCUAGCUCGUUUUCAAACCCAGCUCACCACUUCACAGCUAUGAUUUUCUUCAAACUUUCUUCAAUUAAAGUGCAGAAUUGCAGACUAGGGUUUCUGGAUUAAUCUCCAAUAGCAAACGAUGUUCAAGUGAGGGAAACAAGGAGUUCGAAGCUCCAACUAAUUAACAAGGGUUGAUGAACUCUUCCCAUGAUCAAUCGGUAUAAGGGAGUUUGAUUUCUCUUUCUCAUCGCUUCCAAUAUCGAAAUAUCUCGAAUAUCAUUAUAUUCAAGAUAAACAUAAACCAUACCAAACGACCUCGAUAUGCAAUGCCUCCAUAGCAAUGAGCAAGACUAUAUGCUAAAUUUUAGAGCAGUCCAUAACAUUUCAUACUAGAAGCACACUUUAGAUCCACUGCUUACUAUUUUAGUAUCCCUGUGCUGCAUUUUACAGGAUUGCAAACAAAUUUUGGACUGGACGCAUAUAUAUGUUUGUUCUUACCGUUACUUUUUGCAGGUUAUCGUGUAAACUAAAAGUACAACAGAAACACUGAUGAACAAGAUAGGUAAGCAUUUUCAAGUACAGCCUGCAAAACGAGGCUAAAAGCUCAAUUGAGGAAUCUGUCUUGAAUGAGUAAAGUCCAAAUCAUACCCAAAACAAAUAACAAGAAGAUGCAGAGUUGUUUGAGAACCUGAUUAUUGUGAGAGGAAUGACCGUGUUCGAGAAGCGGCGCUUGUUCCUCCGCUGAAACCAUGGAUUUGUUCCUCGGAGCCUUGUUUCUCCGAUGGAAGAGGAGGAAGGAGACGUGAUAACGCCGGGAGAAAAAGGAGAGCUAGUUGAUAGAAACAGGGGAAAUGAGGUGAGGAAUCUUCAGAUGGCGUGUCGUCGUUGUAAAAAGGAGUAUCAGCCAUAAACAACUACCUCAUUUUAUCCGGGAGCAGUUUAAAAUCCAAACAAAUAAGUUUCAGGA
RNAcentral lists this long non-coding RNA (1424 nucleotides) under Linum usitatissimum (flax). RNAcentral's name for it is "long non-coding RNA (LUSI_LNC002299)". The record is from RNAcentral. Lineage: Eukaryota; Viridiplantae; Streptophyta; Magnoliopsida; Malpighiales; Linaceae.